CCUACGGGUGGCAGCAGUGAGGAAUAUUGGUCAAUGGACGCAAGUCUGAACCAGCCAUGCCGCGUGCAGGAAGAAGGCUCUAUGAGUUGUAAACUGCUUUUGUACGAGGGUAAACGCAGAUACGCGUAUCUGUCUGAAAGUAUCGUACGAAUAAGGAUCGGCUAACUACGUGCCAGCAGCCGCGGUAAUACGGAGGAUUCAAGCGUUAUCCGGAUUUAUUGGGUUUAAAGGGUGCGUAGGCGGUCGGAUAAGUUAGAGGUGAAAUCCCGAGGCUCAACUUCGGAAUUGCCUCUGAUACUGUGCGGCUAGAGAGUAGUUGCGGUAGGCGGAAUGUAUGGUGUAGCGGUGAAAUGCUUAGAGAUCAGACAGAACACCGAUUGCGAAGGCAGCUUACCAAGCUACUUCUGACGUUGAGGCACGAAAGCGUGGGGAGCAAACAGGAUUAGAUACCCCUGUAGUC
Molecule: ribosomal RNA, 460 nt
Filed under: uncultured bacterium
Lineage: Bacteria
Description: partial 16S ribosomal RNA
Rfam family: Bacterial small subunit ribosomal RNA
Source: RNAcentral